AAAACUGCACCACCUGACAGCCCACCUACAAAACGCCCUCUCUUAGAGUUUCCGGUACAACAGUUCCAUCUUUGCAGAUCCUGAUGACACCACCUACCUCCCCAGUAUUUCUGAACUUGUUGACACCAUCACUGAACAAGCACCAGCCAAGGCAGUGCAGGACAUGCUGAAGUACUUAGUGUAGGAGGACUGCCUCCUGGAGCUUUUUAAAAUCUGCCCCACCUGCUCCAGACUCUGUGAAGUUGACACGUUUGUUAAAGGAACAUUCCUCUCUGUAACCCAGAAGUGCCUCUACACGAGUGUCUCUUACUCAAGACUCCACAGCCCUGAUAACACCUGCUGAGAGUGAGAGGAGGGGAGAGGACACCAACUAGAGAACCCAGAACUAUGAGGACGGGAGGAAGCCAAGGUACUCCUGGUGGAUACGGACAACAACGCAGGAAGGUAUCACUACCCGGUUGUGCUUUCCCAGGUAUCCCCAGCACCAGGAAACGAAGGAUGCCAGCACAUCAUGAUCCCUAGAAGAUGAAAGAUAGAUCAACCUGCAACGUGCCUGAAAUCUAUUUGGCUGUAUGGAUUGGCCUGGACAUCUG
Molecule: long non-coding RNA, 593 nt
Organism: Labrus mixtus (cuckoo wrasse)
Lineage: Eukaryota; Metazoa; Chordata; Actinopteri; Labriformes; Labridae
Exons: 4
Source: RefSeq, a predicted model, not a curated record